CUGUGUUGCAAAGAAUGGAUGUUAAGUACUUACUCAUGGCUCUGGAGCACCUCUGUACAAUUCUCUUAUUCAGAUCAAUAAAGUCAAAAGAGCACAAAACAUAGAAGAGUACUGAACUGUAACAAUACAGAUGAAAAUAAAAGUUUAAAUUUCACCCAACCUACCUCCCUUUUACAUAUCUUCUGUCACCCACACUCCCUGCUCUCUGUUAGCUUUUGGAUCAUCUGAUUUAACUGUAUUGCCUGGGGAGGCUUCUGUGCAAAACGCUGUGCCACAGUGAGGUGUACAGAGAUCUGUCACCCCAGUUCCUUACACACACCAUCUCACAAUGCACAAAUCAAAAAGCUUUCGGCAUUUACCUACACUUACAGCAGAGAGCCUGAGUGCUUACUGGAUGCUAGAGAAUAACAGAGACAAUUGCCAUCUCUUAUCCCAAACUAAUUAUGAUACUCUAAUUUAUUUAUUUUUUAUUGAACAUCAAAACUGAAAAUUGAUAUUGAUUUAGGAAUAUAUUCCUUUAGCAAUCAAAUGUCAUUUUCUGUGUGCUACCACUGGUUAGGAUGUUUGGAGCUUAAGGUAGUCUUUUGGAAACAGUAAAACAGGAACAUCGUCCUUUGUUUAGACCAGUGAAAAAAUGAUUCAGGCUUCUUUUUCUAACUAUGCAGGUUAAACAAUAACAGUUUCCACCUCCUGUGUUCAACUGAGCAUUCACGUGCCAGCAUUAUAUGAAGCCCUAAAUGUAGAAAUGGAUGCCUGGGGAAAACAUAUGCCGUAUAUACCGUGCACAGACAGUAAGGUGCUGGAACACUGGGAAUGCAAGAGGUUCCCAUUUGAAGUGUAGGAAGUAUGCAGUAAGAAAAGAGAAGAGAAAUGAGAUUGACCUAGUGAGUGGCAACCCUGCCCAUGUCAUGGUGGUUGGAACUAGAUGAUUUUAAGAUCUCUUCUAACCCAAGCCAUUUUGUGAUUCUGUGGUUCUAUGUUCUAUUGUUCUAUAAGGCUCAUUUUACUUUUCAUGUCAGUUGUGGUAAUCUGUUUAUGAGUAAAAUUAAUUCAGCUUGUUU
This 1061-nucleotide long non-coding RNA is filed under the name Coturnix japonica (Japanese quail). RNAcentral describes it as "lncRNA (ENSCJPG00005018333.1)". Lineage: Eukaryota; Metazoa; Chordata; Aves; Galliformes; Phasianidae. The record is from RNAcentral.